CAGUAGCCACGGUAAUACGAAGGGUGCAAGCGUUACUCGGAAUUACUGGGCGUAAAGCGUGCGUAGGUGGUGGUUUAAGUCCGUUGUGAAAGCCCUGGGCUCAACCUGGGAAUUGCAGUGGAUACUGGGUCACUAGAGUGUGGUAGAGGAUAGUGGAAUUUCCGGUGUAGCAGUGAAAUGCGUAGAGAUCGGAAGGAACAUCUGUGGCGAAGGCGACUAUCUGGGCCAACACUGACACUGAGGCACGAAAGCGUGUGGAGCAAACAGGAUUAGAGACCCCCGUAGUCCCUGUCUCUUAUAC
This 301-nucleotide ribosomal RNA is filed under the name uncultured bacterium. RNAcentral's name for it is "partial 16S ribosomal RNA". It matches the Rfam family "Bacterial small subunit ribosomal RNA", at positions 509 to 807 of the family's 1533-position model. The record is from RNAcentral.